This 79-nucleotide microRNA precursor is filed under the name Heligmosomoides polygyrus. RNAcentral's name for it is "microRNA hpo-mir-10122 precursor". The record is from miRBase by way of RNAcentral. Lineage: Eukaryota; Metazoa; Nematoda; Chromadorea; Rhabditida; Heligmosomidae.
AUUCAGAUGCUUUCGGAUACCAAGGUAAUGAAGGGAAGCUUUCGCCUUUAUCACUUGGUAUCUGAAGCAUCUGAUUUCC